CCCCGUGCGUGCGUGCGCACCGCCAUCCGCGGGGUUGACUGCGGCAGGUCCCGGGGCUGCGGCGGCGCUCCGGCGCGUGGGUCUGUUACCUCGUCGGCCGGCUCAAGAAAUCCCCCUCGUUGAGGCCCCUGCUCCCCUGUCAGUCCUCAUCGCCCGAGGAAUUAUGCACCACCUCCUCAUUUUCCCCAUCGGUCCCGGGAGCUCCGGGAAGGCGCCACCCAGAGUAGAGAGUGAUCGGACGCAUCCAACCACAGAGACCCUGGGCCUCCGGGAUUCUAGAGCGCCCGGCCUGAAGCCGCCACUGACUUCCGGCGGCUGAGCUUCCGGCGGCCGGGGCCUCUGCUCGGGUUUUCCCGGCCUCCGCCGUGGUCCCUCCGCUGGGUGGCUCCGUCGCAGGGCUCCCGCGCCGCGGGCUGCUGCCGAGCUCAGGGGGACAGCGGGCGGGGCGUCCGGCCUCUACCCCUGCGCGGGGUCCAGGUGCCCGCCCCGCUCCACGGCCCGGUGGCUGAUUGGUAGAGCCUUCCCUGAGAAGGCAGCGGCGACUUCGGGGCGGGGCCGUCCGAACCUUUGCGCGGAGGCAAGGUUUGCAGCGGGGAGCUCCAGGUGGUGCAGUGAGGAGCAGCCUUUUGGAGCAAAGGGGGUGGUGCCGCCACGUGAGAAGAAAGCUGGGGAGUCGAGGCGAAGCCCCUGGCAACUGCUAAUCAACUUUCUGACUCUGGACUUGCCAUUCUGGACCUUCCUUACAAAUGGAAUCUUACGAAGGGAUGAUCUCUGCCUGGAAGUGCCUUACACACAGGAGACCGGAGUGGCCAAUGUUUAAUCCAUGCAGCGCAGGCUUGUCAACUCCCAGACUUGGGGAUGGGGGAUCAGGAGGGGUAUGAGGGGGCUGCUGCCAGGGGCCCAGCACCAGGCCACAGGAUGUGACAGAGCUGAGCUCAGUGUGGCCGUGGGCACUCCCACAGGGGAGGGACGACCCCCAUGCCGGCCUGCACGCCAACUGUGGUUUUGGUGGAGGGGAGAGCGGGAGGCCUGCGGGAAGAGGCUGUCCCUGGCCUCAAAGGCCUGGGUGGGUGGGCUGACCUCACAGCCAGAGGGCUCCAUUGUGGUUUCUUGGCACCCCUCCUCACCCCUGCUUUCACCACUCAACCCACCCAGGCUGCCCGGGGACCUAGGUGGGGACAGUGGGGUGAGGGGAGAUGUCAUCAGCACUGUCACAGGCUCUGGGGUCCAACCGUGGGGGCUGCGAUCCUCUGUGGCCUCCGGGGAACCCAGCAGCUGGGCAAACACACUGGGGCUGACCUUGCCUAUUCUGGAACAUUCCCAAGGCCUGCCUGUGAUCACCCUGGGUGUGGGAUAGAGAAUUGUACCCGCCCUGUCCUCAGAAAGAUCCCAGACCUGGGAGGGAGACUGACCCAGGGACCAACCUCAUGGGAACUCGCCCCUCCUGACUCCCCCUCCCGCUGCUCUUCUGUUCUUCUCCAGAAUGUUGGCAUCUCAGGGUUCGGCACCUGUCCCCUCCUCACUCUGCUCCUCCCGAUCUCUGCGCUGACCGCUUUCAACCCUGCUCCAGCCGGGGUCUGUCUCCAAGCUCCAGAUCUAACAGCCAGUGCUCUGCAGAUGUCCCCCUGCCGAUGCCCCGCAAACCCUCCAAUUCCUGGGACUCAUACCAUGCUCACCAGCUCCCUAUCCUGAUGCUCCUCAGCUCACAGCCACCUCCAUCCAGGGCAGGCACCUGGGUGUCAUGUGACCCCCGCCCUCUCCCUCACACUUCUCCCCUCUCACCUAUUCCCCCACCAAUCUACCUCAUCCAACAGGUUACCCAAAUCCAAACUUUACUCAUUGACGCCAUGACACGGAGCACCUACUGUGUGCCAGAUACCAUUCCCAGUUCUGGGGCUUUGGCCAUGAGACAGACAUAAAUCUCUUCCUUUGAGGAGAGAGGAACUCUGAGGAACUCAGAUUUUAGCAGGAUAAAUUGACUCAAUUAUACAGUGUCUUAGAAGGUCAUAAGCAGGGCAGCCCGGGUGACUCAGGGGUUUAGCGCCACCUUCCGCUCAGGGCCUGAUCCUGGAGACCUGGGACAGAGUCCCAUGUCAGGCUCCCUGCAUGGAGCCUGCUUCUCCC
Molecule: long non-coding RNA, 2124 nt
Organism: Canis lupus familiaris (dog)
Lineage: Eukaryota; Metazoa; Chordata; Mammalia; Carnivora; Canidae
Exons: 3
Source: RefSeq, a predicted model, not a curated record